CUCUUCUCGUCCCAUCGCGCGCCGGCUCCUCCCACCGCAUCCUCCUGGCUCCUGCGCCGCCGCCUUUCACCGCAUCCGCUCGCGUCGCCGCCUUCCACCGCAUCCGCUCGCGUCGCCGCCUCCUCUCACUGUAGACACCGCCGCCGCCUCACAUCUGAUCUGCCGGAGCAGCCGCUUACACAUCCGCUGCCGCCACUGACUUCCCCAGUGCAGACAUCAGGUGAGCCCCUUACUCUUCUCCCCGUCGCUGCUCGUGUGGAUGAGGAAGCUUAUGUUUUGCUGCCAUCCCUCCAUGCAAGAUCCGCUGGCAAUUACUUCUCUGUUCGGUCACCUCUGUCCGGACACCGGGUCUUCUCCAACAAGAACCACGAGGAGCAUCUUCUGCUACAUCAUCUAGGUAACGGAGGAGGUACUAAUACCCUUGCAAUAACGCGCUUCUACUAUUGUGAUGUACCUGAGAAAUGUGCAAUUAAUUUGGGGAAUUUCUAGCAACCAAGAUUAGCUUUUAGAUAUUAAUGAUUUAGCUUCAGUUUACGUCGUUUUGUUUUGUACAAUUUAAUCCCUGCUACUUGUUACUGUAAUAGCUAUCUACGUGUGUGUCUAUAAUCUCAAUGUGCACUGAUCUUAUAGUCUGAAUUGACAUGCUUUCUAGACUAUUGUGCAACCAAUCUUAGUUAGUUUACCAUUUUCGUAAUUUUUUCUUUCCUUCCCA
Molecule: long non-coding RNA, 712 nt
Filed under: Oryza sativa Indica Group (long-grained rice)
Lineage: Eukaryota; Viridiplantae; Streptophyta; Magnoliopsida; Poales; Poaceae
Description: lncRNA OsZS97_04G007870
Source: RNAcentral